Molecule: long non-coding RNA, 216 nt
Filed under: Daucus carota (carrot)
Lineage: Eukaryota; Viridiplantae; Streptophyta; Magnoliopsida; Apiales; Apiaceae
Description: long non-coding RNA (DCAR_LNC005226)
Source: RNAcentral
CCCGACCCCGACAAUCCUGGCCGGCGUCAUCGAUCCUCUGACCACAACAACCUCUUUCCUUGUUUUGGUCGUGUUGGUGUUUGUGAUUUGACUUCAAGAAUCAAGAUUCUUGAAGAAAAGUGCACGCCAUGGCAUUUUGAAAACGAGACAUCCAAGCAAUGUUGUAAAAAGCGGGAAUAGGACUUAAUCGGUGAAGUCACGGAACAGGAAUUGAUC